Molecule: ribosomal RNA, 887 nt
Filed under: uncultured bacterium
Lineage: Bacteria
Description: bacterial SSU rRNA
Rfam family: Bacterial small subunit ribosomal RNA
Source: RNAcentral
AGAGUUUGAUCCUGGCUCAGGAUAAACGCUGGCGGCGUGCUUUAAGCAUGUAAGUCGCACGGAUUGACGCAAGUUAGUCAGUGGCAGACGGCUGAGGAAGACGGAAGAAACCUGCCCAUCGGAGGGGGAUAACUCCGCGAAAGCGGGGCUAAGACCGCGUACGCUCGUGGGGGGAAGAGCCCGACGAGGAAAACGGGAACGUGCCGAUGGAGGGGCUUCCGGCCCAUCAGGUAGUUGGUGAGGUAACGGCCCACCAAGCCGAUGACGGGUCGCUGGUCUGAGAGGAUGACCAGCCAGACUGGGACUGAGACACGGCCCAGACUCCUACGGGAGGCAGCAGCUAGGAAUCUUGCACAAUGGGCGAAAGCCUGAUGCAGCGACGCCGCGUGGGGGACGAAGGUCUUCGGAUUGUAAACCCCUUUUGGGUGGGACGAGGAAGGACGGUACCACCUGAAUAAGCCCCGGCUAACUACGUGCCAGCAGCCGCGGUAAUACGUAGGGGGCGAGCGUUGUCCGGAUUUACUGGGCGUAAAGAGCGCGUAGGUGGUUGGGUAGGUUGGUGGUGAAAGGUUGGGGCUUAACCCCAAUAGGUCCACCAAGACCGCUCGACUGCGAGGGCAGUAGAGGAAGGUGGAAUUCCGGGUGUAGUGGUGAAAUGCGUAGAUAUCCGGAGGAACACCGGUGGCGAAGGCGGCCUUCUGGGCUGUCCCUGACACUGAGGCGCGAAAGCGUGGGGAGCGAACUGAAUUAGAUACUCAGGUAGUCCACGCCCUCAACGAUGGACACUAGGUGUGGGGGGUAUCGACCCCUCCCGUGCCGGAGCUAACGCAGUAAGUGUCCCGCCUGGGGAGUACGGCCGCAAGGCUAAAACUCAAAGGAAUUGACGG